RNAcentral lists this long non-coding RNA (208 nucleotides) under Mytilus galloprovincialis (Mediterranean mussel). Lineage: Eukaryota; Metazoa; Mollusca; Bivalvia; Mytilida; Mytilidae. The record is from RNAcentral.
AUUUUACCAGUCAUAUUCUUGAUAAAGUCCGAAUGAUUUAUUUACAAACGUGACAGAGGACCGUACACCUAUUGAUUUAAGAAAAAAACCGAAAUCACUUGAAUUCCGAAACAGAUACGCGUAGUAGAUAAAAUACCGAACUCAAAGGAAAAUUCAAAACGAACAGUCCCUCGAUCAUCAAAUGGCGAAAUCAAAAGCUCAAACACAC